CGUGCGGCGUCCUAUACAUGCAAGUCGAGCGCGGGAAGCAGGCAGAUCCUCUUCGGAGGUGACGCCUGUGGAACGAGCGGCGGACGGGUGAGUAACACGUGGGCAACCUGCCUGUAAGAUUGGGAUAACCCCGGGAAACCGGGGCUAAUACCGGAUAAUACUUUUCGUUGCAUAACGAGAAGUUGAAAGGCGGCUUUUAGCUGUCACUUACAGAUGGGCCCGCGGCGCAUUAGCUAGUUGGUAAGGUAACGGCUUACCAAGGCGACGAUGCGUAGCCGACCUGAGAGGGUGAUCGGCCACACUGGGACUGAGACACGGCCCAGACUCCUACGGGAGGCAGCAGUAGGGAAUCUUCCGCAAUGGACGAAAGUCUGACGGAGCAACGCCGCGUGAGUGAUGAAGGUUUUCGGAUCGUAAAACUCUGUUGUCAGGGAAGAACAAGUGCCGUUCAAAUAGGGCGGCACCUUGACGGUACCUGACCAGAAAGCCCCGGCUAACUACGUGCCAGCAGCCGCGGUAAUACGUAGGGGGCAAGCGUUGUCCGGAAUUAUUGGGCGUAAAGCGCGCGCAGGCGGUCCUUUAAGUCUGAUGUGAAAGCCC
Molecule: ribosomal RNA, 600 nt
Filed under: Virgibacillus salarius
Lineage: Bacteria; Bacillati; Bacillota; Bacilli; Caryophanales; Bacillaceae
Description: bacterial SSU rRNA
Rfam family: Bacterial small subunit ribosomal RNA
Source: RNAcentral